GUGGAUGUAGCUCAGGUGUAGAGCAUGUGCUUAGCAUGCACAAGGUCCCGGAUUCAAUCCCCAGCAUCUCCA
RNAcentral lists this transfer RNA (72 nucleotides) under Camelus bactrianus (Bactrian camel). It matches the Rfam family "tRNA". From Rfam's summary of the family: Transfer RNA (tRNA) molecules are approximately 80 nucleotides in length. Their secondary structure includes four short double-helical elements and three loops (D, anti-codon, and T loops). Further hydrogen bonds mediate the characteristic L-shaped molecular structure. tRNAs have two regions of fundamental functional importance: the anti-codon, which is responsible for specific mRNA codon recognition, and the 3' end, to which the tRNAs corresponding amino acid is attached (by aminoacyl-tRNA synthetases). tRNAs cope with the degeneracy of the genetic code in two manners: having more than one tRNA (with a specific anti-codon) for a particular amino acid; and 'wobble' base-pairing, i.e. permitting non-standard base-pairing at the 3rd anti-codon position. RNAcentral also lists the same sequence under 1 other name. The record is from Rfam by way of RNAcentral. Lineage: Eukaryota; Metazoa; Chordata; Mammalia; Artiodactyla; Camelidae.